RNAcentral lists this ribosomal RNA (517 nucleotides) under uncultured Bacillus sp. RNAcentral's name for it is "bacterial SSU rRNA". It matches the Rfam family "Bacterial small subunit ribosomal RNA", at positions 338 to 870 of the family's 1533-position model. The record is from RNAcentral. Lineage: Bacteria; Bacillati; Bacillota; Bacilli; Caryophanales; Bacillaceae.
CCUACGGGNGGCAGCAGUGGGGAAUAUUGCACAAUGGGGGAAACCCUGAUGCAGCGACGCCGCGUGAAGGAAGAAGGUCUUCGGAUCGUAAACUUNUAUCAGCAGGGAAGAAGGAAGUGACAGUACCUGAGUAAGAAGCCCCGGCUAACUACGUGCCAGCAGCCGCGGUAAUACGUAGGGGGCGAGCGUUAUCCGGAAUUACUGGGUGUAAAGGGUGCGUAGGCGGUAUGGCAAGUCAGUUGUGAAACCCCCUGGCUCAACCAGGGGCUUGCAAUUGAAACUGUCAUACUAGAGUGCAGGAGAGGAAAGCGGAAUUCCUAGUGUAGCGGUGAAAUGCGUAGAUAUUAGGAAGAACACCAGUGGCGAAGGCGGCUUUCUGGACUGUAACAGACGCUGAGGCACGAAAGCGUGGGGAGCGAACAGGAUUAGAUACCCUGGUAGUCCACGCCGUAAACGAUGAGUGCUAGGUGUUGGGGUCUAAUUANNUCUCGGUGCNGAAGNAACGCAUAAGCACUCC